AGUGUUGCAUAUUACCACACAUAUGUUACUCCCCACUAUACAGGUAGUAACAUAGAGUAGUAACAUAGGCAUGUUACUACUCUAUGUUACUACCCAUUGUGGCUAGUCUUAAAUAGGUAUGCAGUCUAUAAAAUGGCCGAGCAAUCUAUAAAUAACUACACAUUUGUUAGUGUGAGAUACUUUCAACAUCUGGAAGAAGAAGAAAAACACUCGAUGCUAGGGAUAUUCCCUCUUUUCGAGAAACAAAAAACAUACAACAUCUGACAAUAGCAAAUAAUCACCUCGUCAUCUGUAAACAACGGACGGUGUAUCCUUAUUCCCUCUUAUCCCAUUCCCUCUCUUUCACCUCAUACAUGUUUUUUUUCUUGCGGGGGCACCUCAUACAUGUUAAACAUCUUUUAAAGAAAGCUAAUAUUGCAUUGUUGUACAUGCCAUGAACAAUGACUAUCAAUAAAACAGUUUUAAAACCGACAUGAUAUUGGAGGGUGUUAAGACGGUGGUUGUGCAGCGAUUCAGGUUGACUGUGCGCCUCACGUCUCACUGAUGUCGACUUUUGUUUUUGUGAUACAUGACGUACAUGUCACUACCAAGCAUCUGUGGUGACUUCAAAAUCCUCUAACAUCAUGAGUUUAGUAGGCAUUCCUAUCGAUCGUUACGUGUGUUAGUGUGUGUCAUGGUGUGUAUGUGUGCAGGUCUUAUGGGUUGUGUUAUUAUUUUCUGAGAAAAAUGAACUUCAUUUCAAGUAACUGAAAAGGUGGAGCAGUUUUGUAGGAAUCUAAUCCUAUCAAGAGCAUCUCCACCCAUCCCAAAAAAGCCCCCAGAGCACUUUUUCAUCGCGCGCGGAUAAAAAAGUCUCAUUCACGCCCCACAAGCCCGAUUAGCGCCGGAUUUGGCCGAAAAUAGAGCCGGCGACCCCAACACAAACCCAGGAAGCUGGGGGCGCCUGGGGGGCUAUUUUCGCCGUUUUACAGGUGCCGGCCCAUCUGCCAGUGUCUCUCUCCUCUCUCUUCCCUUUCCUUCCCUGGCUACCAUGUGCUCCUGUCCACACAUGCCCAUCCUCUCUCUCUCACACAAGCCCGUCGGCCGCAUCGGGCGCUGCCUCGCCGCUACGCGCAAAGCGUCGGCUCCGGCGCCCCCGUCUACCUCGUCGCCAUCCUCCACAUCGUGUCGGGGAAGGGGACGGGCGGCGGAGCAGCCGGCGCGGGCGUCGCAGACGCGUGGAGGCGGGUUGCCGCAAGGAGAGGAGCAGCACGGGAGCUCGGAGGGGAGGAGCACCUGGCAGCGAGGGGCGACGCGACGGCGCGCGGGAGCCGGUGAGCGCGGGCGCGACGCGACGGCGGCGGGAGCCGGUGCACGGAGGCGCGACGCGACGGCGCGCAGGAGCCAGUGCGUGGAGGCGCGACGCGACGGUGCGCGGUAGCCGGCACGCGGGCCCCGAGCGGGGCCGGCCCCGAGCGGCCCCGUCACCGGGCUGACCGGCCCCGAGCGUCCCCGGCACCGGGCGCGUCGGUCACGGGCAGCCCCGUCACUGGGCGGACUGGCCCUGAGCGUCCCCGGCACCGGGCGCGCUGGCCACGGGCGGCCCCGGCACCGGGCGCACCGGCCCCGAGCGUGGCGACUACGGGCGUCCCCGGCACCGGCACCGGCACCGGCCCUGAGCGUGGCGACCACGGGUGUCCGCCGUCUCCCUCGUCUUCUCCGCCGCCGCGUCCUUGGUCUCCUUGGUCUUUCCCGCGGCUGUGUCGGCCAUCUCACUCGCGCUCUCCUUCUCUUCCUCGGCCUUCUGCGAUGCGUAGCUCCCGUACUCAUUGAGCUUCUCCCCCGCGGUCCCCAUGGCGCCGGUGGAGUGGCUGUCGUGGGCGGUGGUUGUGUCCCGGACGCCGCCGGAGAAGGUGUCGCGGACGGCGCCCAGCAGGGAGCGCGCGCUCUCCUGCACGCUGCCGAAGAUGCCGGUCCGCCGUCCUGGGCUGCUGAGCUCCUGCAUAUCCCGCCUGGCCGCGGCGAGCUCGUCGGCCGCCUUCUGCGCCGUGGCCUGCGCGCGCUCCUCGCGGUGACUCUGCUCGGAGAAGGUGUCGCGUGGCCAUCUUGAUGUUGUAGCUGUGGUGAUGCGUGAGAGCGUGGGAAGAUGGCACCUGCUCCGCGGGCUGCUACAGCUGUUGCUCCUGCGUCGGCAGCGAUGGACGCGGGUGCAUCGGCGGCGGUGGAUUUGCGGUGGCGACUGGCGAGCUGCUGCUCCUGCGUCGGCGGCGGUGGACGGGGGUGCGUCGGCAGCGAUGGAUUGCAGUGGCGAGCUGCUGCUGUUGCUGCUACUCCAGCUAGCUCUGGGGGCGCAACGAGUGAGAAAAAGUCCACCCCCAGGCCAAAGUUCUCGCCAGCAGCCCUCCAAGGGGCGAAAAAAAAAUGCCUCCUUAGAGCAAGUCCAGCAGUUCCCCUAAAAUUUCUCCCCUAUAUCUCAAAACAGGGGACUCCCCUAAAAAGAUUCUCCCCUAAAAAUUGCUCAACUCCAGCAGUUCCCAUAAACAUCUCUCUUAUUCUAUAUUUUAAGAAUAUUUCAUAACUACCAACGGCUAGUUUCCAACGGCUAGUUUUCCAACGGCUAGUUUCAGCCCUAUAAAUACAUGAUCACCCCUCAUAUCUAUCACAAUCCUGAUCAUGCCUCCUCUUCUACCUCUCUUGCGCCAUCUCUCUGCCAUCUCUCCACAACGAAAUGAGUCACCGUCGAAGUUUGGCCCGACAGUUUUGCGAAGAUUCCUCCUCCGAAGAUGAGGAACUCAUGAUGGCUGCAAUUGUAGCAGAGGAAGAAGAAGCCCGGUUGGAUGCUCCACGACAUAGAGGUUCACAACCGGGACGUCAAUCUCUUCAGCGCGAUUUUGCGGAACGCUUUCAGAAUCUCCACAAGGACUAUUUUGCAGAGAACCCCACCUUCAAGGCAAGGAUGUUUCGCAAUAGGUAUAGAAUGCAUCGUCCUCUUUUUCUGCGCAUAGCAAGUGCUAUAGAGGCACAUGAUAGCUAUUUUUCCCUGAGAAGAAAGUGCUGGUGUUCCUGGUUUACAUCCUUAUCAAAAAUUGACCUCAGUAUUUCGAAUCCUAGCUUAUGGGAUAGCAGCUGAUCUUAUUGAUGAGUAUUGUCGGCUGGCAAAGUCCACCGCUUUAGAAAAUCUUAGAAGAUUUGUGCGUGCUGUGAUCGAGGUCUUUGGGGGUCAAUACCUGAGAUCUCCAAAUGCUGAAGAUACUGCUAGAUUACUUGCAAUUGGAGAGCAAAGGGGGUUUCCGGGUAUGCUCGGAAGCAUCGACUGCAUGCUGUGAUCGAUGUCUUUGGGGGUCAAUACCUAAGAUCUCCAAAUGCUGAAGAUACUGCUAGAUUACUUGCAAUUGGAGAGCAAAGGGGGUUUCCGGGUAUGCUCGGAAGCAUCGACUGCAUGCAUUGGAAGUGGAAAAAUUGCCCUACUGCACACAAAGGUUUUUUUGUUGGCCAUAAACGCGUACCCACGGUCAUUCUUGAAGCCGUUGCUUCACAAGACCUUUGGAUUUGGCAUUCUUUCUUUGGUUUACCAGGAUCUCAUAAUGAUAUAAAUGUCCUCCACCGUUCACCCGUGUUUGCAAACCUAGUUGAAGGGCAUGCUCCAGAAGUGAAUUAUACCAUCAAUGGUCACAACUACAACACGGGGUAUUACCUUGCAGAUGGCAUAUAUCCGCAGUGGGCAACUUUUGUGAAGACAAUUCCAAAUCCCAAAGGUGAGAAGAACAAAAAUUUCUCCCGGUUUCAAGAAGCAUGUCGGAAGGAUGUCGAACGAGCCUUUGGUGUUCUGCAAGCUCGUUUUGCUAUUGUACGUGGACCAGCAAGGUAUUGGGAUCUGGAGACACUCGGAGAAGUGAUGACAGCUUGUAUCAUCCUGCAUAACAUGAUAAUAGAAGAUGAGCGUGGAAGUCGUGUAGACUACCGCUACGAUAACAUGGGAGAACUAGUGACACCUUCUCACCGAGAGGCGGCUACAUUGACUCAGUUUCUUCAAGCUCAGAGUGAUAUUCGAGACAAACAAGUUCAUUGUCAGCGGCAAGUUGAUCUAGUUGAGCACCUGUGGCAGAUCCGUGGACUGAUGUAGCUUUCAAUAAUGUAGUCUAUGUCACCAUUUUAGAUUAUGCAAGUGUGUACUGUUUUUCAAUUAUAAUGGGAGUGUAAGCACUAUCUGUAUCAUUUUCUAAAUAAUGGAAGCAAUAGUUUACUACA
Long non-coding RNA from Triticum dicoccoides, 4227 nucleotides. RefSeq lists it as uncharacterized. Lineage: Eukaryota; Viridiplantae; Streptophyta; Magnoliopsida; Poales; Poaceae. The record is from RefSeq and is a predicted model, not a curated record. The transcript has 2 exons.